Molecule: long non-coding RNA, 343 nt
Filed under: Sorghum bicolor (sorghum)
Lineage: Eukaryota; Viridiplantae; Streptophyta; Magnoliopsida; Poales; Poaceae
Description: long non-coding RNA (SBIC_LNC015375)
Source: RNAcentral
GGCCUUCUUUUAAUUGAGGAUUCCUGUUUUCACGGAGGGUAUGGAAUGGAGCCCAUUGCUAUUGCUAUGUAGUACGUAUAUGAUUCCAGCAUUUCAGUGGUGGCCUAGACUCUCUAAAGACUGCAUAUCUACACAAAAAAUCUAGAAGAACUUUAUACCGGUUUAUUAUUUGGCCACAUGAUGUAGACUCUAAAUUUUGGACAAACCCUUUUUUUUUAAAAAAAUAAUCAUCUCCAGCCUUACCGGUGAAGAUACCAUCUGCCGUAGGGAAUAAAUAAUUACGGACUAAAUUGUUUUUUUAGUGGGUGGAUUAGGGCAAUCCUUGGUGACAGCGACAAGGGGG